Molecule: long non-coding RNA, 347 nt
Organism: Homo sapiens (human)
Lineage: Eukaryota; Metazoa; Chordata; Mammalia; Primates; Hominidae
Exons: 2
Source: RefSeq, a predicted model, not a curated record
GUGGAUGCAUUUGUCCACCUAGGAAUAGACACACGCUGCACAUUUCCUGCAUGCUGGGCUCUGUAAGGAGGAAGGGAGAGGCCCCUGCUUGGAGAAGCUUUCCAUCCAACAGAUGUGGAUGCUACCUAUGCCACCAGUGUCAAACAUAACUUCAGGAUCACAGAAGAGGCCGAGAGUGCUAAAAGGUCACGCUGGAAUGAAGCAUAUGAGGUGAGAACAUAGCAAGAAGCUACCAUCUGUGCACCAGGAAAUGGGCCCUCACAAGACAUCAAAUCUGCCAGCCACCUCAAUGGUGGGCUUUCCAGCCUCCAGAACUGUGAGAAAUAAAUUUCUGUUUUUAUAAGCCA